UCUGAUCUUUUGUCAGCAGUCCUACUAAAGUCCCAAACUUAAUUAUGGCAAUUAGUAGCAAGGGUUGCGCUCGUUGCGUCACUUAAGACAACAUCUCACGACACGAGCUGACGACAGCCAUGCAGCACCUGUGUCUAGGUUCCCGAAGGCACUGCCAUAUCUCUAUAGCAUCCCUAGCAUGUCAAGAGCAGGUAAGGUUCUUCGCGUUGCAUCGAAUUAAUCCACAUCAUCCACCGCUUGUGCGGGUCCCCGUCAAUUCCUUUGAGUUUUAAUCUUGCGACCGUACUCCCCAGACGGUCUACUUCUCGCGUUUGCUUCGCUACCAAGGUUCUACCCCCAACAGCAAGUAGACAUCGUUUACUGCGUGGACUAC
This 373-nucleotide unclassified non-coding RNA is filed under the name uncultured Gammaproteobacteria bacterium. RNAcentral's name for it is "contains 16S-23S intergenic spacer region". The record is from RNAcentral. Lineage: Bacteria; Pseudomonadati; Pseudomonadota; Gammaproteobacteria.